Molecule: ribosomal RNA, 776 nt
Filed under: uncultured Neocallimastigales
Lineage: Eukaryota; Fungi; Neocallimastigomycota; Neocallimastigomycetes; Neocallimastigales
Description: partial large subunit ribosomal RNA
Rfam family: Eukaryotic large subunit ribosomal RNA
Source: RNAcentral
AUAGAGACUCAGAGCUGCAUAUCAAUAAGCGGAGGAAAAGAAACUAACAAGGAUUCCCCUAGUAACGGCGAGUGAAGCGGGAAGAGCUCAAAUUUGAAAUCUUCAAGGUUCUACCUUGACGAAUUGUAGUUUAUAGAAGUGUUUUCUGUUAGUGGAGUGGCAAAAGUUCUUUGGAAUAGGACAUCAUAGAGGGUGAGAAUCCCGUAUUUGGUCAUUCCUCCUAGCGUUGUGAUACACUUUCAACGAGUCGGAUUGUUUGGGAAUGCAGUCCAAAAUGGGUGGUAAAUUUCAUCUAAAGCUAAAUAUUGGCGAGAGACCGAUAGCGAACAAGUACCGUGAGGGAAAGGUGAAAAGAACUUUGAAAAGAGAGUUAAACAGUACGUGAAAUUGUCAAAAGGGAAGCGUUUGACACCAGUGUUGUUUUUCCGAAAAUCAAUUACGAAUGUUUUGUUUUUGAGGAGUUAUGACUUCAUCGGCUUGCUCCUUUCUUUAUGAAACUUUCUUAAUGCACUUUUCGGUUAACAAGUCAACGUCAAUUUCUUUUGUUGUAAAAGAGUAUGAGGAAGGUGGCUUUCUUUUCGGAGAAAGUGUUUAUAGCCUUGUAGCCUCUGCAAUCGGAGAGAUUGAGGUCUGCAGCGUAGAUCCUUCGGGGUUAGAUACAUUUGUGCUAAGUUAUAGCUUUUCAUAGACAACUUGUUGACUAUGUUUAGUCUUGUAGCUUACUUGCUUACUGCUAUUUUACCUACGCUUAGGAUGUUGACGAGACUGUCGAUCUC